UACCAGCACCCCGAGUGGUCGGGACGAUUAUUGGGCCUAAAGCAUCCGUAGCCGGUCCUGCAAGUCUUCCGUUAAAUCCAGCUGCUCAACAGAUGGGCUGCGGAGGAUACUACAGGGCUAGGAGGCGGGAGAGGCAAGCGGUACUUUAUGGGUAGGGGUAAAAUCCGUUGAUCCAUAGAAGACCACCAGUGGCGAAGGCGGCUUGCCAGAACGCGCUCGACGGUGGGGGAUGAAAGCUGGGGGAGCAAACCGG
This 253-nucleotide ribosomal RNA is filed under the name uncultured bacterium. RNAcentral's name for it is "partial 16S ribosomal RNA". It matches the Rfam family "Archaeal small subunit ribosomal RNA", at positions 474 to 727 of the family's 1478-position model. The record is from RNAcentral.